This 478-nucleotide ribosomal RNA is filed under the name uncultured bacterium. RNAcentral describes it as "bacterial SSU rRNA". It matches the Rfam family "Bacterial small subunit ribosomal RNA", at positions 30 to 496 of the family's 1533-position model. The record is from RNAcentral.
AUUGAACGCUGGCGGCAGGCCUAACACAUGCAAGUCGAGCGGCAGCGGAAAGUAGCUUGCUACUUUGCCGGCGAGCGGCGGACGGGUGAGUAAUGUCUGGGAAACUGCCUGAUGGAGGGGGAUAACUACUGGAAACGGUAGCUAAUACCGCAUAACCUCGAAAGAGCAAAGUGGGGGAUCUUCGGACCUCACGCCAUCGGAUGUGCCCAGAUGGGAUUAGCUAGUAGGUGAGGUAAUGGCUCACCUAGGCGACGAUCCCUAGCUGGUCUGAGAGGAUGACCAGCCACACUGGAACUGAGACACGGUCCAGACUCCUACGGGAGGCAGCAGUGGGGAAUAUUGCACAAUGGGCGCAAGCCUGAUGCAGCCAUGCCGCGUGUGUGAAGAAGGCCUUAGGGUGUAAAGCACUUUCAGCGAGGAGGAAGGCAUCAUACUUAAUACGUGUGGUGAUUGACGUUACUCGCAGAAGAAGCACCGG